UACAGAGGUCUCAAGCGUUGUUCGGAUUCAUUGGGCGUAAAGGGUGCGUAGGUGGCGCCGUAAGUCGGGUGUGAAAUUUCGGAGCUUAACUCCGAAACUGCAUUCGAUACUGCGGUGCUUGAGGACUGGAGAGGAGACUGGAAUUCAUGGUGUAGCAGUGAAAUGCGUAGAUAUCGGGAGGAACACCAGUGGCGAAGGCGGCUUUCUGGCCUGCUCUUGACGCUGAGGCGCGAAAGCUAGGGUAGCAAACGGG
RNAcentral lists this ribosomal RNA (253 nucleotides) under uncultured bacterium. RNAcentral's name for it is "partial 16S ribosomal RNA". It matches the Rfam family "Bacterial small subunit ribosomal RNA", at positions 524 to 776 of the family's 1533-position model. The record is from RNAcentral.